RNAcentral lists this long non-coding RNA (218 nucleotides) under Elaeis guineensis (African oil palm). RNAcentral's name for it is "long non-coding RNA (EGUI_LNC024650)". Lineage: Eukaryota; Viridiplantae; Streptophyta; Magnoliopsida; Arecales; Arecaceae. The record is from RNAcentral.
UACCAAAGCACAGUGAGUUGCUUGCAAGUCACUGAGGCGAUCUCAAGUCUAAGGGAUACUUAUACCUAUAUCCCAUCAGAGACAUUCUUGAUAGUAGAAUAUUCUGGAGUUGGUCACGUUCAAUGAUGAUGUACCAGUAUAUCUCACCUGUAUGCCAUACCAGUGUCUCCACACUCUUUGGUUAAGAGGGCAACCAACCCAUAUGGCCUACAGCGACC